GUCAAGGUCGAUCCGAAAGUAUCCAAAUGAAAACUCGUCACGUGACAAAGCGACAAUGGCGUCAAAAUUGUGAAUUUCAGACUGAUGAGAGUUAUUUUCAUCUAUUGGUAAAGGUCAAAUGGUGACGUAUUGGCUUGAAGGUAUGACGUCAUCACGGAUGGAACCAUUAGCAUCACGUCCUUGAAGCAGUGGGCAGGACAAGGAGGCUUUAAUCAACGAUUUAUUAUUUGUUAUGCCUAGUCAUAGUGUUAUUGUGCGUCAGUAGUCGACAUUCAAUUUGUGACAAGUUGCCAUUAAUUCCGGGCACGUUGAACCUCGAUUAUGUACCUUGCUGAUUUAUGCACGUUGGACUCCUAUUCUACAUUCAAGUGUGCAAGCUUCAAAACAAGGCGAUAUAAAGUGGCUCUAUUACUUAGUUAUUAUUGAACAUAAUGAUGAGCACAUAUCUGUCAAUAACCUUUAAGUUAAUAUUCUCAUAUAUAAAAUAGAGCUUCAUGACUAAAUAUACCCGGACCGCAUUGUCAGGACAA
Long non-coding RNA from Dreissena polymorpha, 530 nucleotides. RefSeq lists it as uncharacterized. The transcript is spliced from 2 exons. The record is from RefSeq and is a predicted model, not a curated record. NCBI's taxonomy places the organism in Eukaryota, Metazoa, Mollusca, Bivalvia, Myida, Dreissenidae.